GUCUCAGGGAGGUUUGUGCUGCGUGUAGGGAAGCGCGAUGCUUGCUGUAUGUUGACCGAUGGAAGUAUAAUUCAAGUUUCUAACUUUGCAUAUGCAAAAACAUCCGGAGCUCCCCAAGUUGUGGGACGGAAGUUCCUCGAUGUUUCUGACUUUUACACACAACCGUGCAAGUCAUCCAUGAUUGGCAUCCACCUUGUGUCACUGCUAUCAGCUGUCCAGCGAUGGCCACUCGAGUGCAUCUCAUCUAAGUGUUUAAAGCUGCCAUUCAGAGGCCAGGCUGUUGUCUUUCCACUCCUUCAUAUGACUCCCCAGUGAUAAACUGUUCGGCAUCCUCCGAUAUCCACACGAGAACAAUGUUGUUGCUGUCAUUCACAAACACUGGCUUAAAGAUGGCUUUUGCAUGUGGCCUCCGAAGGUCUCGUCAAGCAGGUUAGCACAAAUGGUCAAGAAUGGUGUGCAGCCUGAUGCCACGUGGAAAAAACUAACCUAUGUGGAACUUGGCUGGUUCUCAUCCUAUGAGGAAGCUCGCAGAAAACUUCCAAUGGCAGAGGUGACGUCCGACCUGCAGAGCGACACAGAUUUGG
Long non-coding RNA from Ornithodoros turicata, 584 nucleotides. RefSeq lists it as uncharacterized. The record is from RefSeq and is a predicted model, not a curated record. The transcript has 3 exons. Lineage: Eukaryota; Metazoa; Arthropoda; Arachnida; Ixodida; Argasidae.